GACGAACGCUGGCGGCGUGCUUAACACAUGCAAGUCGAGCGGUAAGGCCCUUCGGGGUACACGAGCGGCGAACGGGUGAGUAACACGUGAGUAAUCUGCCCAUCACUUCGGGAUAACUCCGGGAAACCGGUGCUAAUACCGAAUAUGACCACUUCAGGCAUCUGAUGGUGGUGGAAAGUUCCGGAGGUGAUGGAUGAGCUCGCGGCCUAUCAGCUUGUUGGUGGGGUAGUGGCCUACCAAGGCUUCGACGGGUAGCCGGCCUGAGAGGGUGACCGGCCACACUGGGACUGAGACACGGCCCAGACUCCUACGGGAGGCAGCAGUGGGGAAUAUUGGACAAUGGGCGAAAGCCUGAUCCAGCAACGCCGCGUGAGGGAUGACGGCCUUCGGGUUGUAAACCUCUUUCAGCAGGGACGAAGCGCAAGUGACGGUACCUUCAGAAGAAGCACCGGCCAACUACGUG
Molecule: ribosomal RNA, 463 nt
Filed under: uncultured bacterium
Lineage: Bacteria
Description: partial 16S ribosomal RNA
Rfam family: Bacterial small subunit ribosomal RNA
Source: RNAcentral